GCCGGUGUGGCGCAGCUGGUAGCGCAGGCGAUUUGUAAUCGUCAGGUCGUCGGUUCGAGCCCGACCACCGGCUCCA
Molecule: transfer RNA, 76 nt
Filed under: Ferrimicrobium acidiphilum
Lineage: Bacteria; Bacillati; Actinomycetota; Acidimicrobiia; Acidimicrobiales; Acidimicrobiaceae
Also listed under: 6 other names
Description: tRNA-Thr
Rfam family: tRNA
About the family: Transfer RNA (tRNA) molecules are approximately 80 nucleotides in length.
Source: RNAcentral